Molecule: unclassified non-coding RNA, 393 nt
Filed under: Hevea brasiliensis (rubber tree)
Lineage: Eukaryota; Viridiplantae; Streptophyta; Magnoliopsida; Malpighiales; Euphorbiaceae
Source: RNAcentral
CCCCAACCCAAGAUGAAGUUAUGCAUUAUUUCUGAAUAGCAACUGCAUAUCAAACUGAUUCCACAGUUGCCAAAACUGUCAGAAUUUGAUGAAUUAAAACUAUAUAUCCUCUGAUAAUCAUCUUCUUUGUCAUGCCAUUGGCACCUGGUCCUUGUAAGUAAAUCAAGGAAAGCAAAUAAAUUGCUUCUUGUUUAAAUGUGCUUUUGAAGCAUUACUGCAGCUUUCAUCCCUUUUUGUGUAUGCUAAAUUUUCCUUGAACCCUGAUUCUUUUUAAUCUUUAGCGUGUUGACUAGCUUGUACUAUGGUUAAUUAAUCUAGCUUGUUCUUCCUUUGCCAGGGAGGUCGCGUGAAACAACAAAAAUUGAUAGGUUGCUUAUGUGCUGGUGGGCUUUC